GGCAGCACGGGGCUUGCUCCUGGUGGCGAGUGGCGAACGGGUGAGUAAUACAUCGGAACGUACCCUGAAGUGGGGGAUAACGUAGCGAAAGUUACGCUAAUACCGCAUAUUCUGUGAGCAGGAAAGAGGGGGAUCGCAAGACCUCUUGCUUUAGGAGCGGCCGAUGUCGGAUUAGCUGGUUGGUGAGGUAAAGGCUCACCAAGGCGACGAUCCGUAGCGGGUCUGAGAGGAUGAUCCGCCACACUGGGACUGAGACACGGCCCAGACUCCUACGGGAGGCAGCAGUGGGGAAUUUUGGACAAUGGGCGCAAGCCUGAUCCAGCCAUGCCGCGUGAGUGAAGAAGGCCUUCGGGUUGUAAAGCUCUUUCGGUGGGGAAGAAAUUGCUUCGGUUAAUACCUGAAGUAGAUGACGGUACCCGCACAAGAAGCACCGGCUAACUACGUGCCAGCAGCCGCGGUAAUACGUAGGGUGCGAGCGUUAAUCGGAAUUCUGGGCGUAAAGCGUGCGCAGGCGGUUGUAUAAGUCAGAUGUG
This 533-nucleotide ribosomal RNA is filed under the name uncultured Rhodocyclaceae bacterium. RNAcentral's name for it is "bacterial SSU rRNA". It matches the Rfam family "Bacterial small subunit ribosomal RNA", at positions 68 to 596 of the family's 1533-position model. The record is from RNAcentral. Lineage: Bacteria; Pseudomonadati; Pseudomonadota; Betaproteobacteria; Rhodocyclales; Rhodocyclaceae.